UGGGGAAUUUUGGACAAUGGGCGAAAGCCUGAUGCAGCAACGCCGCGUGCGGGAAGAAGGCCCUCGGGUUGUAAACCGCUUUCAGAAGGAACGAAACUGACGGUACUUUCAGAAGAAGGUGCGGCCAACUACGUGCCAGCAGCCGCGGUGACACGUAGGCACCAAGCGUUGUCCGGAUUUAUUGGGCGUAAAGAGCUCGUAGGCGGUUCAGUAAGUCGGGUGUGAAAACUUUGGGCUUAACCCAAAGCGUGCAUCCGAUACUGCUGUGACUUGAGUACGGUAGGGGAGCGGGGAAUUCCUAGUGUAGCGGUGAAAUGCGCAGAUAUUAGGAAGAACACCGGUGGCGAAGGCGGCCCACUGGAUCGGUACUGACGCUGAGGUGCGAAAGCGUGGGGAGCAAACAGGAUUAGAUACCCGGGUAGUCCCUGAGCGGGCUGGCAAGGCGCAU
RNAcentral lists this ribosomal RNA (448 nucleotides) under uncultured bacterium. RNAcentral describes it as "bacterial SSU rRNA". It matches the Rfam family "Bacterial small subunit ribosomal RNA", at positions 355 to 825 of the family's 1533-position model. The record is from RNAcentral.